CAGUCGCCGCGGUAAUACGAAGGGGGCUAGCGUUGUUCGGAAUUACUGGGCGUAAAGCGCACGUAGGCGGAUAUUUAAGUCAGGGGUGAAAUCCCAGAGCUCAACUCUGGAACUGCCUUUGAUACUGGGUAUCUUGAGUAUGGAAGAGGUGAGUGGAAUUCCGAGCGUAGAGGUGAAAUUCGUAGAUAUUCGGAGGAACACCAGUGGCGAAGGCGGCUCACUGGUCCAUUACUGACGCUGAGGUGCGAAAGCGUGGGGAGCAAACAGGAUUAGAUACCCCUGUAGUCCCUGUCUCUUAUAC
RNAcentral lists this ribosomal RNA (301 nucleotides) under uncultured bacterium. RNAcentral describes it as "partial 16S ribosomal RNA". It matches the Rfam family "Bacterial small subunit ribosomal RNA", at positions 509 to 807 of the family's 1533-position model. The record is from RNAcentral.